Rattus norvegicus (Norway rat) is the source of this 339-nucleotide non-coding RNA. The record is from RefSeq and is a predicted model, not a curated record. NCBI's taxonomy places the organism in Eukaryota, Metazoa, Chordata, Mammalia, Rodentia, Muridae.
GGGGGCUGCAGGUAUGGGAGAAGGCCCUGAUCUCCUGUGAGACUGGGAAUGUGCCUGUCAUCCCUUUUAGGGUUCCCCGAGGAUUUGACCUGUCUCAACCAGGAAUCAAGGAUACUGGAAUGAGAAAGAAUACAGCCACCCAUGGAGAUCAGAAAGAUAGACACCUUUGGGAUCACCUGCCACACUUUGCAUCUCUGCUUGGAAGACUAUGCUAUUUUAAGGUAUGCUACUAUUCUCUGCAAACUCAUAGGACCUCAUAGCCCUGUCACUCAGACACAGACCUGUGGAUCACUCGGGUAAGUAAAUUAUUGAUUUUAUGAAAUUUUUCCGUAAUCUGAA